GACGAACGCUGGCGGCGUGCUUAACACAUGCAAGUCGAACGGUGAAGCCCUUCGGGGUGGAUCAGUGGCGAACGAGUGAGUAACACGUGAGCAACCUGCCCCUGGCUCUGGGACAACCACUGGAAACGGUGGCUAAUACCGGAUACGACCCGCCUCGGCAUCGAGUGUGGGUGGAAAGUUUUUCGGCUGGGGAUGGGCUCGCGGCCUAUCAGCUUGUUGGUGAGGUGAAGGCUCACCAAGGCGACGACGGGUAGCCGGCCUGAGAGGGCGACCGGCCACACUGGGACUGAGACACGGCCCAGACUCCUACGGGAGGCAGCAGUGGGGAAUAUUGCACAAUGGGCGAAAGCCUGAUGCAGCGACGCCGCGUGAGGGAUGACGGCCUUCGGGUUGUAAACCUCUUUCAGCUCCGAAGAAGCGAAAGUGACGGUAGGAGCAGAAGAAGCACCGGCUAACUACGUG
Molecule: ribosomal RNA, 462 nt
Filed under: uncultured bacterium
Lineage: Bacteria
Description: partial 16S ribosomal RNA
Rfam family: Bacterial small subunit ribosomal RNA
Source: RNAcentral